UACGAAGGGGGCUAGCGUUGUUCGGAAUUACUGGGCGUAAAGCGCACGUAGGCGGAUACUUAAGUCAGGGGUGAAAUCCCGGGGCUCAACCCCGGAACUGCCUUUGAUACUGGGUGUCUUGAGUAUGGAAGAGGUAAGUGGAAUUCCGAGUGUAGAGGUGAAAUUCGUAGAUAUUCGGAGGAACACCAGUGGCGAAGGCGGCUUACUGGUCCAUUACUGACGCUGAGGUGCGAAAGCGUGGGGAGCAAACAGG
RNAcentral lists this ribosomal RNA (253 nucleotides) under uncultured bacterium. RNAcentral describes it as "partial 16S ribosomal RNA". It matches the Rfam family "Bacterial small subunit ribosomal RNA", at positions 524 to 776 of the family's 1533-position model. The record is from RNAcentral.